AUGAACGCUAGCGACAGGCUUAACACAUGCAAGUCGAGGGGUAACAGGGUAGCAAUACCGCUGACGACCGGCGCACGGGUGAGUAACGCGUAUGCAACCUGCCUAGUAACUGGGGGAAUAGCUCCCUGAAAGGGGAAUUAACACCGCAUAACACUAUUGAUUCGCAUGGAUUGGUAGUUAAAUGUAGCGAUACAGGUUAUAGAUGGGCAUGCGUGACAUUAGCUAGUUGGUGAGGUAACGGCUCACCAAGGCUACGAUGUCUAGGGGUUCUGAGAGGAAGGUCCCCCCACACUGGUACUGAGACACGGACCAGACUCCUACGGGAGGCAGCAGUGAGGAAUAUUGGUCAAUGGGCGCAAGCCUGAACCAGCCAUGUCGCGUGCAGGAAGACUGCCCUAUGGGUUGUAAACUGCUUUUAUAGUAGAAGAAACACAUCUACGUGUAGAUGUCUGCCAGUAUACUAUGAAUAAGCAUCGGCUAACUCCGUGCCAGCAGCCGC
Molecule: ribosomal RNA, 499 nt
Filed under: uncultured bacterium
Lineage: Bacteria
Description: bacterial SSU rRNA
Rfam family: Bacterial small subunit ribosomal RNA
Source: RNAcentral